GUGGUCACUUGGGCAGCACUUUUACUGAAAUUGGAACAAUACAGAGAAGAUUAGCAUGGCUCUGCACAAGGAUGACAUGGAAAUUCAUGAAGCAUUCCAUCUUUUU
Small nuclear RNA from Cervus hanglu yarkandensis (Yarkand deer), 106 nucleotides. NCBI's taxonomy places the organism in Eukaryota, Metazoa, Chordata, Mammalia, Artiodactyla, Cervidae. The record is from Ensembl.